AAUAAUGUUGACAGUAUAAAGAAGAAUGAUAUAUGAUAUUUUGUAUAUAUCAGAAGGAAUAUGCUUGUCAAAUUUCUAAGGUCUAGGCCUUACAAAAAAUCAUUGGCCAAAAUAACUAAAUUAGAGAAUGAUUUGGAAAAAUAAGAGAAAGAAUAGAAGGUGGAUAGAGUAAGAAUAGUUAGAAUAAAAGAAUGGUAAAAAUAUAAGAGAAAUAAAAAAAAGUAAAAAAAAGAAAUCAUAUCUUCAAAUGCAUUAUCC
Molecule: long non-coding RNA, 258 nt
Filed under: Lathyrus oleraceus (garden pea)
Lineage: Eukaryota; Viridiplantae; Streptophyta; Magnoliopsida; Fabales; Fabaceae
Description: Pisum sativum (pea) long non-coding RNA (PSAT_LNC000270)
Source: RNAcentral